GUAAAAUAUAUGUACGUUUUUUUUUAAGUAUGUGCACUUAGAGUAACUUCUGGAGCUUGACUGACAUCUGUCAUAUGCUCCUGUAAAUGGUCCUGUACACUAUUUUUCAUGCUUAUUUUGACAAGCAGCUAUGGUGGUGUGUCUCAGAUGGACUCUGAAUAUCUUGGUAGUCGUCACAAAUAUUUAACAUCGAGCUUUAUGGAAAAUUACCAGCUAGUAAAGUACACACUGCGCAGUCAUGGUCAUUCUUGCAAUCAGGGCAUGCAGAAACAGCUUCCGUGUUAUAAAGGAGGAGGGACAACCGUGUUUCUCUUGUAAUGGUUUUUUUGCAGUUCCCUUGUAAAAUGAAUUGAAUUUUUAUUGACAUGACAGCAUGUGCUAAGUUACUUUUAGUUUUUGUUUUGUUUACUGUAUCAGUAAGCUGCUUUUGCUUCUGUCAAUCUAUUUUUUUUUUAAUUAAAAGUUCAUAAUUAGUACCAGGCAUGAUGGUGAACUCUUUUAAUCCCAGCAUUCAGGAGGAGGCAGAGGCAGGCGGUUCUCUGUGUUGGAACGCAGUCUGGUUUACACAGUGUAUUCCAGGACAGCCAAAGGUACC
This 595-nucleotide long non-coding RNA is filed under the name Rattus norvegicus (Norway rat). Its description in RNAcentral is "long non-coding RNA NONRATT023057". Lineage: Eukaryota; Metazoa; Chordata; Mammalia; Rodentia; Muridae. The record is from RNAcentral.